CGGCGAGUGAAGCGGCAACAGCUCAAAUUUGAAAUCUGGCGUAAGCCCGAGUUGUAAUUUGUAGAGGAUGCUUCUGGGUAGCGGCCGGUCUAAGUUCCUUGGAACAGGACGUCAUAGAGGGUGAGAAUCCCGUAUGUGACUGGCUUGCACCCUCCACGUAGCUCCUUCGACGAGUCGAGUUGUUUGGGAAUGCAGCUCUAAAUGGGAGGUAAAUUUCUUCUAAAGCUAAAUACCGGCCAGAGACCGAUAGCGCACAAGUAGAGUGAUCGAAAGAUGAAAAGCACUUUGGAAAGAGAGUUAAAAAGCACGUGAAAUUGUUGAAAGGGAAGCGCCCGCAACCAGACUUUGCGGCGGUGUUCGGCUGGUCUUCUGACCGGUUUACUCGCCGCCGUGAGGCCAUCAUCGUCUGGGACCGCUGGAUAAGACCUGAGGAAUGUAGCUCCCUUCGGGGUGUGUUAUAGCCUCUGGUGAUGCAGCGCGUCUCGGGCGAGGUCCGCGCUUCGGCAAGGAUGAUGGCGUAAUGGUUGUCGGCGGCCCGUCUUGAAACACGGACCAAGGAGUCUAACAUCUAUGCGAGUGUUCGGGUGUCAAACCCCUACGCGUAAUGAAAGUGAACGGAGGUGGGAACUUUUUGUGCACCAUCGACCGAUCCUGAUGUCCUCGGAUGGAUUUGAGUAAGAGCAUAGCUGUUGGGACCCGAAAGAUGGUGAACUAUGCCUGA
RNAcentral lists this ribosomal RNA (721 nucleotides) under Pseudocercospora lindericola. RNAcentral's name for it is "eukaryotic LSU rRNA". It matches the Rfam family "Eukaryotic large subunit ribosomal RNA", at positions 87 to 840 of the family's 3401-position model. Lineage: Eukaryota; Fungi; Ascomycota; Dothideomycetes; Mycosphaerellales; Mycosphaerellaceae. The record is from RNAcentral.